Long non-coding RNA from Oxyura jamaicensis (ruddy duck), 1330 nucleotides. RefSeq lists it as uncharacterized. The transcript has 2 exons. Lineage: Eukaryota; Metazoa; Chordata; Aves; Anseriformes; Anatidae. The record is from RefSeq and is a predicted model, not a curated record.
UGCAGGAUGCACCUUGAAGUCCAAAGGAAGAGUAAGAUCUUCUAAUACUGAAGGAGGAAGGUCUUGCACUUUGCUCAUUCCCAUUCGUUCCUCCCCAUGAUCCCGAGCCUCCCUUUGUCCUCUCUGGACAGAAGGAUCUGGCCAUUGCCUGCUGGCAAGGUAGGUUGAGGCGGUUCAAUCACCUGGCAAACACUGUGAUCUGAAUUCAGCUGAAUUCAGCUGUCAAGGCUCCCAUCAGCAGACAAGCACCAGAUGGGCCUCAGACAAGCAAUGACUGAAUGUGUUUGGGAGUUAGAGGAGCAACAGAGAUCAAAAAGAAAAUCAAGGUCCUUCUCUUUCACAGCAGCAAGCAGUUUUUUGGCUUGCUCUAGAAGAGAAUUUCAGCUCAGUCUGGCAUCUCAUUUAUGUCUGUAACAAUCUUGAUUUUAACAAGAUGCUGAUGGGUGGUUUAUAAAUAAAUAUAUAGAUAACUUAUUUAUAACUUUGACAAGGAAAUGUAUAAAUUAGUAUAACUAGAUAAAAAUGUGCUCUUUUUUUGUUGAGCUCUUGCAUAGUUGUGUAAUAGUCUUAAAUCUUUAACUUGCCAUAUAGAAACUCAGAAUUUCUGGUACAUGUUCCUGACUGCUUUUGACAUGGUCUUGACAGUUAAAAUCUUUGCUUGUAAUAUACAAUUUUAUAAGGGCCAUAAUUUAAGACUGCCUGCAGCAGCUGAAUAACAGGUUAAUGCUAAAAUUGACUUUAUGUUUACUCUCCUUACCAUUUAUGAGUGUUGAGGGUAAAGUGCUUUAGUACGAUAGAAGUACAAAAUCCUAUUUGUUAUCAUGCCUCUUAUUCUUGUCUCAAUUUUUCUCCGUUACCCUGUACAUCUUGCUUACCUGCACAGAGAGAUUGAAUAUUUCUAUGUGAAAUAGCUGGAACUUUUUUUUAUGUGCCAAAUGUCUUGUACUCGACUACCUGCAUGUGCAUUUCACUGUUGAGGAAGUAAAGCAUGUUGUAGAGCUCCUGAGGAAAACUUGGAAUUAAACAGUUUAAUUUUAACACGCAGUGUGCUGGGCAUAGUAACUAGCACUCAUUAUUUCUGUACGUUUAAAAAUACAAGACAAAGCCAAGUAUUUUGAAUGCUUCUUUUAGUAUGGAAUCACCUGAUUUGGAGAACUGAAGAAGUAUUGGCUUUUGCCUGUAUGACUGAUCCGUGCUAGAGACACGGCUUUAAGCGUUUGCAGUCCUGUAGCUAUGUCCUGUAGCAACACACAGCACGCUGCAGAACAGCCAGACUAGCGCUCUCUUCUAAGAGCUCUUCAUUGAAGGAGAUUCAAAAGAAACCAGUGUA